GACGAACGCUGGCGGCGUGCCUAAUACAUGCAAGUAGAACGCUGAAGAGAGGAGCUUGCUCUUCUUGGAUGAGUUGCGAACGGGUGAGUAACGCGUAGGUAACCUGCCUUGUAGCGGGGGAUAACUAUUGGAAACGAUAGCUAAUACCGCAUAACAAUGGAUGACACAUGUCAUUUAUUUGAAAGGGGCAAUUGCUCCACUACAAGAUGGACCUGCGUUGUAUUAGCUAGUAGGUGAGGUAACGGCUCACCUAGGCGACGAUACAUAGCCGACCUGAGAGGGUGAUCGGCCACACUGGGACUGAGACACGGCCCAGACUCCUACGGGAGGCAGCAGUAGGGAAUCUUCGGCAAUGGGGGCAACCCUGACCGAGCAACGCCGCGGGAGUGAAGAAGGUUUUCGGAUCGGAAAGCUCUGUUGUAAGUCAAGAACGAGUGUGAGAGUGGAAAGUUCACACUGUGACGGUAGCUAACCAGAAAGGGACGGCUAACUACGUG
Molecule: ribosomal RNA, 497 nt
Filed under: uncultured bacterium
Lineage: Bacteria
Description: partial 16S ribosomal RNA
Rfam family: Bacterial small subunit ribosomal RNA
Source: RNAcentral